UUCAGAAUGGUCACUGGUCACCCAGGGGUUGAUCCUUCCUGGAAGUCUCAGGCACCCAUGCUCCCUUCUCCCUUUCCUCCACAGUGAAUUCCAAGGCGGAAGUCAGGUUCCAUUUGGCAACUGCCGAGUGGAUCGCGGAGCCCGUGCGGCAGAAGAUAGCCAUCAUGCAUAAAAACAAGAUCAACAGGUUAGGAGAGUUGAUCCUCACCUCUGAGAGCAGCCGCUAUCAGUUCCGGAAUCUGGCAGAUUGCCUGCAGAAAAUUCGAGACAUGAUCACUGAGGCCAGCCAGACACCGAAGGAGCCAACAAAAGAAGAUGUUAAACUUCAUAGAAUCAGGAUAGAAAACAUGAAUCGGGAAAGGCUGAGACAAAAGAGAAUUCAUUCUGCUGUAAAGACAAGCAGGAGGGUCGACAUGGACUGAAAUCACCCUCUGCAGCUGGGAGGGCUCUUCUGGGCGUGCGGGCAGCUGCAGCUGAGAGGACUUUCACACCAUAAGGAGAUUUCUGUUUUUCUUUUUGGCUGUUAAUGCUUGUCUAUAACAUUAGAGCCAUCACGAGAAUGUUCAUUUGGAAUGAAGGCUGCAGGCACUGGUUGCAGAAGUCUUUAUAGGCAGUCACCAUGUUGUCAAACCUUAAUAAUGCAUCGAAUGUAUUAGCCACAAUAAAAUUCAAAACUCA
RNAcentral lists this small RNA (678 nucleotides) under Pan troglodytes (chimpanzee). RNAcentral describes it as "retained intron". The record is from RNAcentral. Lineage: Eukaryota; Metazoa; Chordata; Mammalia; Primates; Hominidae.